This 72-nucleotide transfer RNA is filed under the name Neotoma lepida (desert woodrat). It matches the Rfam family "tRNA". From Rfam's summary of the family: Transfer RNA (tRNA) molecules are approximately 80 nucleotides in length. Their secondary structure includes four short double-helical elements and three loops (D, anti-codon, and T loops). Further hydrogen bonds mediate the characteristic L-shaped molecular structure. tRNAs have two regions of fundamental functional importance: the anti-codon, which is responsible for specific mRNA codon recognition, and the 3' end, to which the tRNAs corresponding amino acid is attached (by aminoacyl-tRNA synthetases). tRNAs cope with the degeneracy of the genetic code in two manners: having more than one tRNA (with a specific anti-codon) for a particular amino acid; and 'wobble' base-pairing, i.e. permitting non-standard base-pairing at the 3rd anti-codon position. Lineage: Eukaryota; Metazoa; Chordata; Mammalia; Rodentia; Cricetidae. The record is from Rfam by way of RNAcentral.
UGGGAUGUGGCUCAGUGGUAGAGCACUUACCUAGCAUGUGUAAGGCACUGGUUUCUAUUUCCAGCACCCUAA